UAUACUUUAGUAUAAUAUGUAUAAAAGUUUUUGAUACUUUAGGAAAUGGGUUACUCCGUUAGGUAUAG
Molecule: transfer RNA, 68 nt
Filed under: Curculionoidea sp. 8 KM-2017
Lineage: Eukaryota; Metazoa; Arthropoda; Insecta; Coleoptera
Description: tRNA-Gln
Source: RNAcentral